UCAGAGAUUCUCCUCUAUUGCUAACUAUGCAUGCAUCCUCAGACAUCCUCUGCUUCUUCCAGGAUCCUUUUCCUUGAAGAGUUGUUAAGCGCUCAUCAGAAGCCUUGGUGAUUCAUCUGAACUAUCCACUCUACUGGGCAGUCCUAGUGUUGAUUCUGACCUUGUUUGGCACUCAUCCCAAGAUAUUUGCAGAAGAUGUGAAAAAGCCAGGUCGUCUACUAGGUAGACGUCCGAAUAUAUGGAAAAUUCUAAACAGCAAUGACUUAGACAAGGCUUAUGAGUCCUGCUCUGAAUGUGCCAUCAGCCGAGAGCUUUCUGCCAUGACUCUGAAACACUGAUGUCCUCUCCACUCCACCUCACCUUGACUGCUUCCCCUCUGGUUUUCCCACCAAAAUGAAGAUAUCUCCACUCACCAUUGCUUAAGACAAACGUCAGG
Molecule: long non-coding RNA, 436 nt
Filed under: Cercocebus atys (sooty mangabey)
Lineage: Eukaryota; Metazoa; Chordata; Mammalia; Primates; Cercopithecidae
Description: lncRNA (ENSCATG00000045793.1)
Source: RNAcentral